CCUCAAAUCAGGUAGGACUACCCGCUGAACUUAAGCAUAUCAAUAAGCGGAGGAAAAGAAACUAACAAGGAUUCCCCUAGUAACUGCGAGUGAAGAGGGAAGAGCUCAAAUUUUAAAUCUGGCGGUCUUCAUGGUCGUC
This 139-nucleotide ribosomal RNA is filed under the name Phylloporus pelletieri. RNAcentral's name for it is "partial 28S large subunit ribosomal RNA". It matches the Rfam family "Eukaryotic large subunit ribosomal RNA", at positions 1 to 138 of the family's 3401-position model. Lineage: Eukaryota; Fungi; Basidiomycota; Agaricomycetes; Boletales; Boletaceae. The record is from RNAcentral.